RNAcentral lists this ribosomal RNA (467 nucleotides) under uncultured bacterium. Its description in RNAcentral is "partial 16S ribosomal RNA". It matches the Rfam family "Bacterial small subunit ribosomal RNA", at positions 28 to 506 of the family's 1533-position model. The record is from RNAcentral.
GACGAACGCUGGCGGCGUGCUUAACACAUGCAAGUCGAACGGAAAGGCCCUGCUUUUGUGGGGGGCUCGAGUGGCGAACGGGUGAGUAACACGUGAGUAACCUGCCCUUGACUCUGGGAUAACUUCAGUAAACUGGGGCUAAUACCGGAAAUGAGCUCCUGCUGCAUGGUGGGGGUUGGAAAGUUUCGGCGGUUGGGGAUGGACUCGCGGCUGAUCAGCUUGUUGGUGGGGUAGUGGCUUACCAAGGCUUUGACGGGUAGCCGGCCUGAGAGGGUGACCGGCCACAUUGGGACUGAGAUACGGCCCAGACUCCUACGGGAGGCAGCAGUGGGGAAUAUUGCACAAUGGGCGGAAGCCUGAUGCAGCAACGCCGCGUGCGGGAUGACGGCCUUCGGGUUGUACACCGCUUUCGCCUGUGACGAAGCGUGAGUGACGGAAAUGGGGAAAGAAGCACCGGCUAACUACGU